AAAUGAAUUGACGGGGACCCGCACAAGCGGUGGAUGAUGUGGAUUAAUUCGAUGCAACGCGAAAAACCUUACCUACCCUUGACAUGUCCGGAACCCUUUGGAAACUUAGGGGUGCUCGCAAGAGAACCGGAACACAGGUGCUGCAUGGCUGUCGUCAGCUCGUGUCGUGAGAUGUUGGGUUAAGUCCCGCAACGAGCGCAACCCUUGUCAUUAGUUGCUACGCAAGAGCACUCUAAUGAGACUGCCGGUGACAAACCGGAGGAAGGUGGGGAUGACGUCAAGUCCUCAUGGCCCUUAUGGGUAGGGCUUCACACGUCAUACAAUGGUCGGGACAGAGGGUUGCCAACCCGCGAGGGGGAGCCAAUCCCAGAAACCCGAUCGUAGUCCGGAUUGGAGUCUGCAACUCGACUCCAUGAAGUAGGAAUCGCUAGUAAUCGCGGAUCAGAAUGCCGCGGUGAAUACGUUCCCGGGUCUUGUACACACCGCCCGU
RNAcentral lists this ribosomal RNA (490 nucleotides) under uncultured bacterium. Its description in RNAcentral is "bacterial SSU rRNA". It matches the Rfam family "Bacterial small subunit ribosomal RNA", at positions 903 to 1397 of the family's 1533-position model. The record is from RNAcentral.